This 396-nucleotide ribosomal RNA is filed under the name uncultured eukaryote. RNAcentral's name for it is "bacterial SSU rRNA". It matches the Rfam family "Eukaryotic small subunit ribosomal RNA", at positions 592 to 984 of the family's 1831-position model. The record is from RNAcentral.
CAAGAGCGUAUAUUAAAGUUGUUGCAGUUAAAAGCUCGUAGUUGGAUUUCUGGCACAAUGCGCCUGGCCCGCGGCAGUAAUGCCUGUGAGUGCCGGUGCGCGUUGUCCAUCCUUCUAGAAAACGUCUCUACCGUUAACUCGGCCGGAUUCGCGAUCUAGAUCUUUUUACUUUGAAAAAAUUAGAGUGUUCAAAGCAGGCUUAUGCUGUGAAUACAUUAGCAUGGAAUAAUAAUCUAGGACUUCGGUUCUAUUUUGUUGGUUUCGGAACUUGAGGUAAUGAUUAAGAGGGACAGACGGGGGCAUUCGUAUGAUGGUGUUAGAGGUGAAAUUCUUGGAUCGCCGUCAGACGAACUACUGCGAAAGCAUUUGCCAAGAAUGUUUUCAUUAAUCAAGAAC